Molecule: long non-coding RNA, 230 nt
Filed under: Gossypium raimondii (Peruvian cotton)
Lineage: Eukaryota; Viridiplantae; Streptophyta; Magnoliopsida; Malvales; Malvaceae
Description: long non-coding RNA (GRAI_LNC010037)
Source: RNAcentral
UGGUUGUUAAUUAGAUGUUUGUGUUGGUUAAGUUGAUGGUAAGAAAAUGUGGAUGGAAAUGGUAUGGUAGCAAUUAAUGGUUGGUAUGGAAUGAAUGUAGUAUGAUGUUUAAAAUGACUAGUUUUUGGUAGCUUUGAAUGUAGUUGGUUUUGUUCUAAUUGGUAAGAUGCGUGAUAGGUAUACGAAUGCUUAUAACAAUACUUAUUGUGUAUAUAUUUUGGUGUAUGAAC